This 963-nucleotide ribosomal RNA is filed under the name Listeria monocytogenes. RNAcentral's name for it is "partial 23S ribosomal RNA". It matches the Rfam family "Bacterial large subunit ribosomal RNA", at positions 1228 to 2188 of the family's 2925-position model. Lineage: Bacteria; Bacillati; Bacillota; Bacilli; Caryophanales; Listeriaceae. The record is from RNAcentral.
GUAGGAGAGCGUUCUAAGGGCGGUGAAGUCAGACCGGAAGGACUGGUGGAGCGCUUAGAAGUGAGAAUGCCGGUAUGAGUAGCGAAAGAAGGGUGAGAAUCCCUUCCACCGAAUAUCUAAGGUUUCCUGAGGAAGGCUCGUCCGCUCAGGGUUAGUCGGGACCUAAGCCGAGGCCGAUAGGCGUAGGCGAUGGACAACAGGUAGAGAUUCCUGUACCAGUGCUAAUUGUUUAACCGAUGGGGUGACACAGAAGGAUAGGGAAUCGCACGAAUGGAAAUGUGCGUCCAAGCAGUGAGUGUGAGAAGUAGGCAAAUCCGCUUCUCGCGAAGCAUGAGCUGUGAUGGGGAAGGAAAUUAAGUACGGAAGUUCCUGAUUUCACGCUGUCAAGAAAAGCCUCUAGGAAGAGUAGUACUGCCCGUACCGCAAACCGACACAGGUAGAUGAGGAGAGAAUCCUAAGGUGAGCGAGAGAACUCUCGUUAAGGAACUCGGCAAAAUGACCCCGUAACUUCGGGAGAAGGGGUGCUCUAUUAGGGUGCAAGCCCGAGAGAGCCGCAGUGAAUAGGCCCAGGCGACUGUUUAGCAAAAACACAGGUCUCUGCAAAACCGUAAGGUGACGUAUAGGGGCUGACGCCUGCCCGGUGCUGGAAGGUUAAGAGGAGUGCUUAGCUUCGGCGAAGGUACGAAUUGAAGCCCCAGUAAACGGCGGCCGUAACUAUAACGGUCCUAAGGUAGCGAAAUUCCUUGUCGGGUAAGUUCCGACCCGCACGAAAGGCGCAACGAUCUGGGCACUGUCUCAACGAGAGACUCGGUGAAAUUAUAGUACCUGUGAAGAUGCAGGUUACCCGCGACAGGACGGAAAGACCCCGUGGAGCUUUACUGCAACCUGAUAUGGAAUGUUUGUACCGCUUGUACAGGAUAGGUAGGAGCCGAAGAGACGUGUGCGCUAGCAUACGAGGAGGCA